RNAcentral lists this unclassified non-coding RNA (334 nucleotides) under soil metagenome. Its description in RNAcentral is "partial contains 5.8S ribosomal RNA, internal transcribed spacer 2, and large subunit ribosomal RNA". The stretch from base 1 to 120 matches the Rfam family "5.8S ribosomal RNA", at positions 35 to 154 of the family's 154-position model. The record is from RNAcentral.
GAUGAAGAACGUAGCGAAAUGCGAUACGUAGUGUGAAUUGCAGAAUUCAGUGAAUCAUCGAAUCUUUGAACGCACAUUGCGCCCGCCAGUAUUCUGGCGAGCAUGCCUGUUCGAGCGUCAUUUCAACCAUCAAGCCCCAGGCUUGUGUUGGAGCCCUGCGGCUGCCGCAGCCUCCCAAAACCAGUGGCGGGCUCGCUAUCACACCGAGUGCAGUAGUUUACUCUUCGCUCAGGGCGUGUGGCGGGUGCUAGCCGUGAAACCCCCAACUUCUCAAGGUUGACCUCGGAUCAGGUAGGAAUACCCGCUGAACUUAAGCAUAUCAAUAAGCGGAGGA